Molecule: long non-coding RNA, 493 nt
Filed under: Chelonoidis abingdonii (Abingdon island giant tortoise)
Lineage: Eukaryota; Metazoa; Chordata; Testudines; Testudinidae
Description: lncRNA (ENSCABG00000014640.1)
Source: RNAcentral
GUUCCGGGCGAAGGGGGACAUGUUGUUGCCAUGGCGUGGUGCUGCGCGCUGGUUCUGACUGGCCUUUGGGGGUGUUGAAGAAAUAUUUUAAUGUUGUUCAACAUAGUGUAAGCUGUUCAGAAGAAAAGUGGAGAAUUUGAUACAUGUUUAUAUUUUGAGACUGAUGAUGAAAGAAUAUUGAUUAUUGCAUCGGAGCCAAGGUGAUUCCUGUACCUCUCACUGUUGUGCUACUGAAGACAUUAAAGAGUCCUCUAUUGUACAAGUGCAAGAACAACAGAUCAAAUUACUAGAAAUCCCAGAGCACUCUGAUAUCACGCAAGUUUAUCUUCAUGCAAGCUGCCUGGUCAGCACUACACAGAGAAGCCUGACUUCAAGCAAAACUGAGGCUUUCCUCAGUCUGGCUCAGAGAAAGCUCCUGUGAGGAAAUGGGAACAAAAAUACUUAACUUCGUAAAGGAGCUAGAUGCCGUGAAUAAAACCAGACUUGCUUUGCA